CUUCCCAUUGAUUUGCUGCUCUAGUCUUGCAGUGAUAGGAGCAGUUAUACGCAUGGGAGAGAACAAUGUUAGGCCAUGGUAAAUGGAGGUGGAGUGACCAUUUCAUCUCUUCUGCCUGGCCCAGACACUG
Molecule: small nucleolar RNA, 130 nt
Organism: Mustela putorius furo (domestic ferret)
Lineage: Eukaryota; Metazoa; Chordata; Mammalia; Carnivora; Mustelidae
Source: Ensembl